RNAcentral lists this long non-coding RNA (3540 nucleotides) under Mus musculus (house mouse). RNAcentral's name for it is "long non-coding RNA chr12:12722860-12726400". The record is from RNAcentral. Lineage: Eukaryota; Metazoa; Chordata; Mammalia; Rodentia; Muridae.
AAAACAAAAAAGGCAGCAAGCAUUACAGAAGGUGAAUUUUGCUGUUCAAACACGCCCUGCCCAAGGCCUUGUUUGUCCCGUGUGUUUGGGCCAUGGAUGGGUACUCGGCAAGCCCAAGCUUUUGGCAUUUCUAUUUGAGAAUGUGGGGUGAGUUUAUUGGGUUAAAACCGGCUUUGUUUGGGUUUGCACCGCCCUUGUUCCCCGGGAGCCCCACAUGGGGCGCCAACAUGGCCUGGAAGAGGGGCAUGUCAAGUGCCCCCCACCUCGCAUUGUUGUUGCGCAGUGAACUGGAGUCUUGGAGGGGAAGGGGGAAAAAAGGAAUUCCUCACUUCCAUCCUGACUGGGAUUCUCCUUUUCUUCAGCUGCUCCAAGCUGCAGUAAUCCGUAUUCUCGGGCUCUCUGUCAUUGUAGUCUUAUCUGCGCCUGCUUCUUCCAAUGGCGCUUCUUGGGAGCUCUUUCACAGAAAAGGGGUGGGGGAGGCGGCUCCAUAAUGGCCGGCGUGGCCCCUUUCUUCUCUCUCUCCCUCUCUCUUUCUCUCACUCUUUUCUUAAGCUUUCCGAGGGAGCCGGGCUAUUUAAUCUUCCUGAGCUGUUCAAGAUGUCACUUACCUCUGAUGGUGGGGACAAAGGAAAUACUUCCACAGUGAAUGCCGGGCAGAGCUGAAUGCCUCAGGCUGCUUUGAAGAGGGUUCUUGGAAGUCUGUUUCAGAGAGUGGCCUGAGCGCCGAUCUUUUUGUGCCGUGGCCUGCGAGCCUCCCAGCCAGCUUCACCAGAGGCAUUUAGCAUAAAGGACAGUGAAGGGCUUUGUCGUCAGCACCCAGUCCAAAUCCCAGCUCAGGUUUGGGCAAAUCAACCACUUAAUUGUCCUGAGCCUCAGUUUCCCCCUCUGUGAAGAUGAGGGAAUGGUGGCAUCCAAUUCCAUCUCUGUAAAGUACAACUGUGAACAGUUCCCAUGUGAGCUUCUUGGAAGGUACGCACGCCCUCUAGUUCUCUCCCUGGAAGUAUACCGUGUAAUGAAGUGAUUGAUUAUGUAAGUUCCUGGCAACGAGUGGGCUAUCCUGUGGAAUUUUGGUAAGGAGUCCGAAGUUUCAUUAAUGGAUGGAUGAGUGUUGGAGUCAAAGGCUCACAACCUUUGUCACCUUUGACCUCUCUCCCACAUCGAAUGUGUCACUGAGCCUUGUUGGGUCUGCAUGGGACAAGCCCGUGUACCACUGCACCAGUCCAAUCAGGCCAGAGUCUCAGGAGCUCUCUUCAGUGAACAGAUGAGAAGGUAGCCCCCAACUCCAGGAUAGCUGCUUCCCAUUCCCUACAGGGUGAAAGGCGGAUCUUUACCUCAGUGUGAAGGGCUUUGAAGAGCUGCUCAUUUCUCCAGCCUCUCACCUCCCCUUCCACAAACCCUGCACUUCAGCCAGGAGGCCCCCGUGCCCACAAUGUCCGAACCUUUGUGCAUUUUCUACAGCAUAGAACAAGGUCUUUCCUUCCCACCGGUGGGCACAUAAACAUUACCAUCUUUCCAUGCCCAGUUCGUCCUUGUGCCACAUCCUUUCCUUCUGUCAUGUGAUUCCUCUCAACAAACAGCUUCCUCAUUGCUCCCUGAGGAAGAGACUUAAGUCUCUGAGGUGUAAGUGCCACUGUACCUCCCCUUGAAGUGAACAUCGUACAUUGGGUGUCUGCAUUCCUCUUCUUGCUUACAGACGCCCCCAUCCAACUCUCUGAAGCAGUCUGAGGUGCCUGCUCAGACCUACACAUCCUGAUGCACUAGCUGUGAAGACAAAUUCAAACUCUGUAAGAUACUGAACUGCAGAAUAAAACACUUCCUAGCUACUGUGUACUUCGGAAUUGCAUGUCACGCCCUUUUGCAAGAAGCAGGCCCUGUUCCCAUUCUUCAGGUGUCAAAACAGAGCCAGACAGAUGAGCCCAAGCCAUGACAAGAGAAUCUAAUGUAUUUCCCACCUUCAAAACAAUUCCAUACCUAAAAUCAAAUAAGGAGACUUUGCUGUAACUGAAAUAAUUUUUAUUGCUAGGGGACAAUACCCGUCUAGGUAAAUGCCCCCAGUCUGAGGACCGCCCCAAUCCUGCACUAACCUGGGUGGCGGGCAGCUUCCACUCUGUAUAUGAAAUACACAUCACACACCUUCUCCGCGGCCCUGCGUGCAGCCAGGGCCAGCAGACCCUUCCCGAGCCUUGUACAACUUUUCAUUUCCCAUAUCAAUCAUGAGAACAAGUUGAAGUUCAGAUAAAGGCAGCUUGGUUUCCCCUAAUUGUUCAGGAUUUAGACUGACUGUUUGCACUGCAGACUGCGGCCACUGGGUUCCCGGCGGGGGGCUGUGGCCAGCUCUUUCUCUAACAAACCCGUGUUCAUGCGUCCAUUCAGAUCCAUCACCCUGAGAUAAACUGUGAAUAUUGCCCUUUGUCGCCGCUGCAUUCUUGCCGGCAGUGUGGGGGCACUAUUUACGGAUUUAAAGGGUCAUUUGCACAAGUCUUUUGUCAGCAGCCUGGGCCGCAGAAUGGUGAAGCGAGGGCUACCUCUCCUUUCUGGGUUACUGCCCCAGCUCUCUCUGAGCAGAAUGGACACGCCUGCCCUGGACUUAGCAUGAAGAAUGUCAUUUCGAAAAUUACAUUUUUUAAAUGACCUGUCUGCUUCCAUGGCCAGGGGAGGGUCACCAGUUCACACAGGGCAGGAUUUAGGUGUUGCCCCUACCUCUUCUAUCAGGAGCCUUUGGAAAACGCACAGAGUUAAAUGUGGCAAACCACAUAGAAGGGCAUCGUAACUAUGCCCUGGAGUGAGUACUUCGUGCUGUGGGCUCUCUGCUCCGCCCUUCUGCGGCUUCUUGCUUUUAGAUUAAUCUCGCUAGUCUUAUUUUGCAGAGAAUGAAACUGAGACUGUGAGAGUUGGGGGUCACACAACAAGAAAGAUGCAGAGUGGAACUUCCAAUCUAGGGCUUUCUGAUUCCAAUCUGGGAGCUUGCACCAUCCCCUGCUAUUUCUUAAGUUUUCCAUCGGAGGAUCCAGGGCUUCUAAAUAAAGCAGUAGGAUUUGAACCAGAAACAAUGCAACCAGGAGAUGCGUGUGGCCAGCUUGCAGAGAACAUAAGCGUGCUAUUGUCUCUGUGACUCCCGCAGCUCUGGGACCUCCCUCAGAAGCCCCCUCCUCCUCUGGGAUCUCACUCCGUUUUCACUGCCCGGGAGAGCUGUGGAAAGGCAUCCUGUCCCCUUUGUGGUGAGUCCUAAUUACAAGCUCCGUCUGCCUCCCCCCUAGAGUGUAGGCCCCCUGAGGACGGGCUUGAGCUUCCCUCUCUGGGUUUCCAGUGGCGAGCUUCAACCCCAGAUCACAUACACAUCAUGAACGCACGUUGGAGAUGAAUGAGUGAAUGGCUUUUGUGCAAUAUGGGGGCUACAUUUCCUGGAACUUUCACAGGGAAAAAUAGUAUUGGGCAUGGGUCGUCACAGAUCAUACAGCUCUGCUGGAGAAGAUGGGAGCAAAGAAAGAGGUCCAGACCAUUCUUUGAGUCUCUGGGCUUAUUUGUAAAAGGUGGAAGGAG